CAUUCAAGAUGCAACACCAAAGUAUUUCCUCUCCGAAGCCCUCCCUCAUGCUUGGGGCAAUUAGUCAUCCCUUCCUGCGCUCCCACAGCACCUUGGCCGAGGCCCUAUCUAUCAAUUUACUUCCCAACCCGUUUGGUAACGUCAUGUCUAUCCACCACGCCCCCGACUCAGUUUCUCCCUGGGGCCGGGCAGACAUAGGCUAGGAGAAUGCUGGCAGAAGAUGCGGAGGCAGCAGCAGGGUGCGGCAGGGGGGAACUUCCCAGUGGGGGGCUCCUCCCCGGAGGACGUGUCCCCCACCAGGACUCUGGCUAUGCGCCCUCCCCCAGGUACCUGAGGCGGUUCCGGGAGAUGAAGCCGCGGGUCCUUCAGCGCUGGAGCCGCCAAAUCCUGCGGGGACUUCAUUUCCUACACUCCCGGGUUCCUCCCAUCCUGCACCGGGAUCUCAAGUGCGACAAUGUCUUUAUCACGGGCCCUACUGGCUCUGUCAAAAUCGGGGACCUGGGCCUGGCCACGCUCAAGCGCGCCUCCUUUGCCAAGAGUGUCAUCGGGACCCCGGAAUUCAUGGCCCCCGAGAUGUAC
Molecule: small RNA, 579 nt
Filed under: Pongo abelii (Sumatran orangutan)
Lineage: Eukaryota; Metazoa; Chordata; Mammalia; Primates; Hominidae
Description: retained intron
Source: RNAcentral